This 465-nucleotide ribosomal RNA is filed under the name uncultured bacterium. RNAcentral describes it as "partial 16S ribosomal RNA". It matches the Rfam family "Bacterial small subunit ribosomal RNA", at positions 339 to 795 of the family's 1533-position model. The record is from RNAcentral.
CUACGGGUUGCUGCAGUGGGGAAUAUUGGACAAUGGGGGAAACCCUGAUCCAGCAAUGCCGCGUGUGUGAAGAAGGCCUGCGGGUUGUAAAGCACUUUCGGUUGGGAGGACUGCUUCUAGCACUAAUAUUGUUCGAAGUUGACGUUACCUUCAGAAGAAGCACCGGCUAACUCCGUGCCAGCAGCCGCGGUAAUACGGAGGGUGCAAGCGUUAAUCGGAAUUACUGGGCGUAAAGCGCGCGUAGGCGGCUAGAUCAGUCGGGUGUGAAAGCCCCGGGCUUAACCUGGGAACUGCAUCCGAUACUGUCUAGCUUGAGUACAGGAGAGGAGAGUGGAAUUCCACAUGUAGCGGUGAAAUGCGUAGAUAUGUGGAGGAACACCAAUGGCGAAGGCAGCUCUCUGGCCUGAUACUGACGCUGUGGUGCGAAAGCGUGGGGAGCAAACAGGAUUAGAUACCCGAGUAGUC